UCCUCAUAUGACAGGGAAUUCUUUCUAUGC
RNAcentral lists this non-coding RNA (30 nucleotides) under Rattus norvegicus (Norway rat). Lineage: Eukaryota; Metazoa; Chordata; Mammalia; Rodentia; Muridae. The record is from RNAcentral.